CGGACGGGUGAGUAACACGUGGAUAACCUACCUAUAAGACUGGGAUAACUUCGGGAAGCCGGAGCUAAUACCGGAUAAUAUAUUGAACCGCAUGGUUCAAUAGUGAAAGACGGUUUUGCUGUCACUUAUAGAUGGAUCCGCGCCGCAUUAGCUAGUUUGUAAGGUAACGGCUUACCAAGGCAACGAUGCGUAGCCGACCUGAGAGGGUGAUCGGCCACACUGAACUGAGACACGGUCCAG
RNAcentral lists this ribosomal RNA (240 nucleotides) under uncultured Staphylococcus sp. Its description in RNAcentral is "partial 16S ribosomal RNA". It matches the Rfam family "Bacterial small subunit ribosomal RNA", at positions 99 to 334 of the family's 1533-position model. The record is from RNAcentral. Lineage: Bacteria; Bacillati; Bacillota; Bacilli; Caryophanales; Staphylococcaceae.